UAUUCCUUUAAAACAGUCCUGUGAGGCUGUCAAGGAGACGGAUUAAAAACAUGCACCAUGAUACUUAAUUGUGCUAUAUUUUGCUGAAUCUCCUUGUUUCCAAGGAGAUCUUUUUAUU
Non-coding RNA from Streptococcus pyogenes MGAS9429, 118 nucleotides. The record is from Rfam. NCBI's taxonomy places the organism in Bacteria, Bacillati, Bacillota, Bacilli, Lactobacillales, Streptococcaceae.